RNAcentral lists this ribosomal RNA (708 nucleotides) under uncultured bacterium. Its description in RNAcentral is "bacterial SSU rRNA". It matches the Rfam family "Bacterial small subunit ribosomal RNA", at positions 41 to 762 of the family's 1533-position model. The record is from RNAcentral.
GGCGUGCCUAACACAUGCAAGUCGAACGAGAACGGAACUAGCUUGCUAGUUUGUCAGCUAAGUGGCGCACGGGUGAGUAAUAUAUAGUUAAUCUGCCCCAAAGAAGAGAAUAAUUGUUGGAAACGACUUGUAACGCUCUAUAUGCCUUUAUUACAUAAGUAAGCAAGGGAAACAUUUAUGGCUUUGGGAUGAGACUGUACGGUAUCAGCUAGUUGGUGAGGUAAUGGCUCACCAAGGCUAUGACAUCUAACUGGUUUGAGAGGAUGAUCAGUCACACUGGAACUGAGACACGGUCCAGACUCCUACGGGAGGCAGCAGUGGGGAAUAUUGCACAAUGGAGGAAACUCUGAUGCAGCAACGCCGCGUGGAGGAUGACACAUUUCGGUGCGUAAACUCCUUUUAUUAGGGAAGAUAAUGACGGUACCUAAUGAAUAAGCACCGGCUAACUCCGUGCCAGCAGCCGCGGUAAUACGGGGGGUGCAAGCGUUACUCGGAAUCACUGGGCGUAAAGAGAAUGUAGGCUGGUUAUUAAGUUGGAAGUGAAAUCCUAUGGCUCAACCAUAGAACUGCUUCCAAAACUGAUUACCUAGAAUAUGGGAGAGGUAGAUGGAAUUUCUGGUGUAGGGGUAAAAUCCGUAGAGAUCAGAAGGAAUACCGAGUGCGAAGGCGAUCUACUGCAACAUUAUUGACGCUGAGAUUCGAAAGCGU